Molecule: long non-coding RNA, 570 nt
Organism: Anopheles arabiensis
Lineage: Eukaryota; Metazoa; Arthropoda; Insecta; Diptera; Culicidae
Exons: 2
Source: RefSeq, a predicted model, not a curated record
UUGGUUGACUCUGCCACAAUUCCAAACGACGAACUAGUCGAUGUAAGAGCGCUAACUCCACUUUUGACAUUCUUUUGAUUGCUAUAACGGAAAAAUUAUGGUUGACACCUUUCACAUACCUUGCCGUUUGUGUAGGAGUGUUGGCUGCUGAUCCUUUCUUGCCCUCCAGCGCCAGCAAAUGCUGCUCGAGCGCAUCUAACAGCGAGCUCGGAGCUUUCGUAAGAUCUGGUAAAUCACCCUUAUCAAUACCAACGUUCUGCAAGAAAAAUACAGGUUUAUCAGCACGAUUUGCCUUGCCAUACACGUCGAAAAAUAUCUUCACUUACCUCAGCCACCUUGAGAAACUCUCCCACCCGAUCCAUACGAGUAAGAAACUUUUUGUACAGAUCCAGCGCAUCACGACAUUGCUUCUUAUUCAUGUCAAAAUAUUUUUCCAAUAGAUUUAUGAUACCAUCGUUGUAACAAGCGAACAGCCGUAUCAAAUCGCGGAAUAGUAACAUGAAGCACAUGUUAAUGACACCUAUUAGCCAGAUUCAGCAUAGUGUAGAAUAAACGAGAGAUAAUUUGUUA